RNAcentral lists this transfer RNA (75 nucleotides) under Deinococcota bacterium. RNAcentral's name for it is "tRNA-Thr". It matches the Rfam family "tRNA". From Rfam's summary of the family: Transfer RNA (tRNA) molecules are approximately 80 nucleotides in length. Their secondary structure includes four short double-helical elements and three loops (D, anti-codon, and T loops). Further hydrogen bonds mediate the characteristic L-shaped molecular structure. tRNAs have two regions of fundamental functional importance: the anti-codon, which is responsible for specific mRNA codon recognition, and the 3' end, to which the tRNAs corresponding amino acid is attached (by aminoacyl-tRNA synthetases). tRNAs cope with the degeneracy of the genetic code in two manners: having more than one tRNA (with a specific anti-codon) for a particular amino acid; and 'wobble' base-pairing, i.e. permitting non-standard base-pairing at the 3rd anti-codon position. RNAcentral also lists the same sequence under 2 other names. Lineage: Bacteria; Thermotogati; Deinococcota. The record is from RNAcentral.
GCUCGUGUAGCUCAGUGGUAGAGCACUCCCUUGGUAAGGGAGAGGUCGGCGGUUCAAUCCCGCCCACGAGCUCCA